This 59-nucleotide ribosomal RNA is filed under the name Arthrocladiella mougeotii. RNAcentral's name for it is "partial 28S ribosomal RNA". It matches the Rfam family "Eukaryotic large subunit ribosomal RNA", at positions 1 to 58 of the family's 3401-position model. The record is from RNAcentral. Lineage: Eukaryota; Fungi; Ascomycota; Leotiomycetes; Helotiales; Erysiphaceae.
AAGACCUCGAAUCAGGUAGGGAUACCCGCUGAACUUAAGCAUAUCAAUAAGCGGAGGAA